CAUUCUCUGAGAAUUUUGGUCCAAUAGAUAAAGAAACUGAAGACGAACCACGUGCAAGUAACUGGGUUGUAAGAAAUUGGGCACCUUGGGAAGAGAUUCUCUUGCCUGAAGCUGAUUUUGCUAGAAGAAUUUCAAAUGAAGGUGAAGAAGUAGCAUUCACAUCGCAUGGAACAAUUGAAGUUUAUCGAAUGUUAAAACAAAAACAAGAUUGGAAUAAUUUGAGAUUAGAGGAAAGUGGGUUUACUGAGGAUGAGUAUUUAGCUAAACAAUUUGAGAUUAGAGGUGAGAAUUUAGAGCCUUUGGAAACUGAUUGCUGAUAGGCAGCUUUUGGAGAUAUUCUAGGCAGGACAGUGUGUAAGUACUUGCCACCUUAUCAACUACUUUGUCUCAAAGCUCGAACAUUUUGAUAGAAGAAUAGCAGAAAAUAGUUCUAGCUAGGGUAUAAGGUGGAUCAUACACUUGGGGAAGGUCCUGCACUGAGUGGCCGGUGAGAAGGAAACUACUAGCUGACUGAAAAAAUGUAAAGCUGAAGAUGGUUUGGCUGGUUAAGCAGAAGAAAACAAAGAUGAAUAAACUUCACAAAACCAAAAGACUUUUUCCUAGCACUAAGGAUGUUCGUUUCAGUACUUUGUUAAGAGGGUGUAACAGAUUGGAGCACUAUAGAUGUCGCCCAAUAAUCGCCACGUUUGAAAGUUUACUUGAAGGAUCUACUUAAGGAUUGCAUACUCUCGGUGAUACCCAUUUUAGUGGCUUUCAGUACGGUACUCCUGUGAAGUAUCCGAGCUUGUGGCGUUGAGGUGCUGGAUUUGAUGUGGGGAAGCAGAUUUAGGAGUAUGAAUUCCUUAAGUUCCUCCAGAAGGAAGAACCUUGCUAGACAAUCAAGAACUGAUAGUUCAGCAGAUAACCGAGAAGGUCUGAGAAAUAGUCGAAGUGGGGAUUUUUCCUCUGAUGUUGAGAUUGUGCAAUCUCAUGGCAGCAAUCUCUGCAGAAGCGCAAGAGUUAAGGAAGCAGGACAGCGGAGGCUGUGAGUCUUAUUGACCCAAUGAUGGACUUCCGGUUCAGUUUGAAGAUCUCUUCCUUACCUGUUCAGGGAAGGUUGAUUCUUGACCAUCAUAUCAUGAUAGGAGCCGUAUCUGGCCUGUUGGUUACAGAUAUAGUUGGCAUGAUAAGGUAACCGGAUCUCUUUUUAUACUGGAUCGGCGGAAGCUCUGGACCAAUCUUCAAGGUCAGACUAUGCCUUGCCUCUGCAAUCAGUCAUACCUGAUGCAUCAAAUAGUCCUACUGAGACAAAUUGAAUUCUUGGUCAGUCCGAAGCUGAAAUCUAAGUAGAAAGUGAAUUUGUCAUUUUGUCAGAAGCUAGUGAUUUCGAGGACGCCAACAUUCAGGAUGAAGUUGUUGGAUUUUUUGCUGAAGGAAGGUCAUCAUCUUCAGUGUUGGGUAAGGUCUCUGCGAUGUUUGUUGGUGUAUAAAAGUAAGUCAAACAAGACUCUGGCAAACACAUUCACAGGAAUCAAGUAAACAGCUAAAAUUUAGACAAAAAUCAAUGAAAUGUGGAUUCCCAGGGUGGUAAUCUUUUAAGAAUUCUUGCAGUGUUCAGUUCUAUCGUACCCAUGAGUCAGAUGGUAAUCUGUUACAGAUGCCAAGGACAGGAAUGGUAUUGGUUCCCUGUCCUCUUUUUAGGUUGCCUCAAUAAUAAAUGACCGUGUCUAAAUAGAGAGUCUGCCUUAGCCAAAUCCAUGCAGCUAAGCACGUGUCACAACGAAACGGAGAAAACUAGGUUAACAAAUUUAUAGUUUGGGGGGUCUUUCUGUUUAAAUAGUACUGCUGCAUUUGGUACAUUGGUUAUUGAGUUUUAAAAUGAUUACAAGAGUGAAUUUUCUUCCUAGGUAUAAGUAUUUUUUAUGCAUUUGAUUGGAAGAAAAAUGGAUUUCAUUUGUGGGAUUUGAGUAGUAAUUUAUACACGGUGUCUGCACUAAUAAGUUUUAGUGUACUAUAAGCUACGGUUGCGACUCAGUGAAAACUUAUUUUAGCAGAAAAUGUUAAUGUAUUUACUGGAUUCGUAAUCGUAAUGUUUCGAAUAUGGUUAGACAAUUGUGGUGGCUAAUUUAAUCUCAACCUUUUUAACUUACAGCAUCGGCUCUUUUUUAAGUUUGAUAUUCUUAUUUCAAAUAUUUUUGGUAGAAGACUGUAUACCUAAAUUACUGUGUGUACUCAAUUGCUAUGUGAACUUGCCAACUUGGGUUGUGUACCGUGUGCUAAAUUGUGCAUCGAUCUCGAUUAAUCUUGCUCAUUUUCUGUGUACUUAAGUGUAGUGCGUUUUUACUAUGGUUUAUGCCUAAUAUCCUUGCCAUCCCUUUUAGUUUAUAUUCAAGUAAUACCAAAUUGUAUCACUCAUCGGCUAAACUAGUGUUACUGUGCGUACUGCAUGAGCAAUGAUGGCGUUUCCAUGAGUGAGCUAAUUUAUUAACACUAUUUGGUUAUUUAGAGAUGUUAAGUUUGAAAUGAUCAUCUAUGGUCUCAAGGUAAAUAAUGCCCUCAACUAAGUGUUAGUCUGUAUUUAAUUUCAAGUUAGCUAGUCCAUGAAUUAUCGAGACACAUAUAUAUUCUUCUCUUAGGGUAGCUUUAGAGUUCAGAAGGAAUGUUCCGUUAGACAGAAAUGGGUAGAUAAAUUGGUACUGCUAAGUUAAGUACUAGAUUAUGAAUUUGGACAUCAUUAGUGGUAUUUGUGGAUCGAUAAUGCUUGUAUGAAAGUGAGCCAACUCGUCAUUAGUGGGAAAGACUGUUGGACUUACAGCAUACUGUCCUUUGCACUUACGUUAAAAAUUCUGCAUUAGCAUGCUGCUGUGGUACCUCAUCUCUAUAAACUGUCUGUUUGUGGGAAUUGUAUUCGAGUUCUUUUAAAUGUUUUAAUAAGAAAAUGUCUCCAAGUGUUGUUAUUCAUUUGCUUUUGCUGGUAUCCAGUAUUAAGAACUGGUGAACAUUUUCUAGGGCCUUGUCGUGGCAACGACAAGUGAUCUAAUAUUCUUUGCUUCCAUCUGAUUGUCAUAAUUUGUUGAUAGGUGAAGCCUGUGAUUUUGCUUUCUGGCUUGAUGUGCUAUUUUCUGGACUUGUACCUUGGAGAUCUUAGAUCUCAUUUAUUUUCAUGUCUGCUAGUCUUGGUUACCUUGUGCGCUGACUUAGCAUCUUGGCUGCAUAAAUUGCGCUUGUUGAACAACAAAUAAAAAUGAUUGAUGUAGACAUGGCUAUCCUUGUAGUUAGGGUAGUAUUUCGGAAGAAAAGGCGGAGAUCUCUGUUUUAGUACAAAGGAGUAGUAAUAGUAAUGGUUCCAAGCAGUAGCGUUCAUAUCUCACAGCGCCAAAGUAAGAUAAGGGUGGUUCACUGGUACUUAUUUGGUUUGCUUACAAAUAGUUUAGAAGUGAGUGCUAAAAUUUGUGCAAGAUAUUGAGAAAAGAGUAUUGUUGUGUUUUUGGCCUCAUCUUGAGAUCAUUGUUAUGAAGCAGGAAUUAUAAUAUCUGUAUCUGUAGCUGGUAGCUAAUUCUAGUUGGUUGGAUCAGCUAAGGACUACACAUCUGGAACUACAGUAAGACAGAAUUGCACAUGGCCAUAACCUGUCCAGUUCUGUAUUUUAUUUUCAAUACUUAAUUUAAACUUCAGUGAUAAGAUUUAAUGGCAUGACAUUUGAUUAUUCUUGCUGUUGCGUGAGACUUGAUUUUGCUCUAGCUAAUUGGGUGCUGCGAUAUCUCAUCUUUAUGAUACUGUUAGUGACGUCGCGAGUUGGGGAUAGUUGUUGCUAUGCAAUUCAUACUAUCCGCUGUUAGAUAUAGUUGCUACUAGAGGUAGUUCAUACUAUCUAAAUGAAUGAGAUGGACCGCGGUCGUGUUUAAUCCCUUCGAGCCACGGAGCAGGGUACAGAGGCAGCCGCUUUGCGGUUCAGUACAAUUCUGCAAGGUUGUUCAUAUCGUCGGAAAGGGGUUGGUUACUGCUUGGCAGUUCAUACCAUUUAUUCGGAGAUGAUUGCAACCUUCGCAAGUACAUAUCGUUGGUUAUAGGUAGUUUCAGUACUAUCUCUUCAUACUACAUAGUAAAGAAAUGAUUGUUGCCUCUCCUAGAUGAUUAUGAGGUAAUUCAUAUCAUCUGUCUCGACUUGUAAGUUAAGCAAUGAGGGGAUUCAUAUCAUCUGAGAAUAAAGGAUGGUUGCUGUUUAUGAUGACAGUUCAUACGGUCGAUAUGGAAAUGAUUACCAACUCUUUUGAGUAGUUCAUAUCAUUUGAAAAAGAUGUUCUGUUGAGCUUGAGUGUGUAUUGUGAAUUGCCAGGCCCAACUGGGGCUCCCACCUACGGGUGGCUACCCGGAAGACCAUUGGCAACCGGCCAAUGGUGGCUGGUACCCGACUAGUCCGGCAAGAGAUAUUUUAUCCUCACAGUAAAACGAUGGGAGUAUAUAAGCAAUGUUUUCCUGCUUAUAAAGCAGUCUGGGAUAAAUCAGUGAACAUUUUCCUGGGAAAAUCAAAUUGGUCAGAGUCAUUUGGAAAUCUGGUUUCUCGAGUGGCGUUUCAGAGAAUUGGAGCUUUCCAAGCGGGACGUAACCCGACCGGUUGGAAGCAAAAAAGUUCUGGUCCGCCGCACCAAAUCUUAUGAUCUGUCUGGUCCCAGGCACAUAAGCUUGAGAUGAUGUGCAAAGGAGUGGAGAAAUGGUUGAACCAGGAUAAAUUUGGACUCGAUAUGUAAUUUAUGCAGGAAAUUAUUGAAGAGCUUCCUGGGUCCGAUACAUGUUCAGAAUACGAGUUCUUAACUAGACAAAAUGACUACUCCAACUUCAUGCUAAAAGAAAGGGUAUAUUUCAAGGAAUUCACUACGAAGAAGCUGCAGAUGGUAUAUUUAAAAAAUGUAAAAGGCUUAAGCUGUGUAAGACCUUGGAUUCAGAAGACAUUUUCCUAAUGGCAAGCUAUGGAGCUCAAAGGUAUCAAUACAGCUGGCUGGUGUGUUUUACAGGUAUUUGUAUUUCGGAUCUCAAGUAUCUAAGUGGCAGAGGCUGUACUAUUUGGAUGUAUACCCUGUCUGCUAGGAUUCUUUAUCUUACCCCUCUUUCUGGUUUUGUUUUAUACUUUUUCCUUAUCAUCUUCUUUUUUCCUUUUUAUCUUCUUUUUUUGUUCUGUUUUUUGUUUUGUUUUUUCAGUUUUAAGGUGUAUGAGCUACUUUGGCGUUUCAAUGACGUCUUGGCCCUGAAGCAAACCUUAUCUUUUGAGGAGCUCGAAGGAGAUAUAAAUCCCUUGUUUCAUGAUUCAUCUUUUAUGGAGAAACUUGAGAAGGAAAAUCUGGAGAAUAGAGACCUCAUUUUGCAUCGUAGUCACGGUGUGGUUGGCCAUAAUGUAACCCCAAGCGAUAAACCAAAUUCUAUAGUUUUACGGAAUCUUUCACCAAAGCUCAUCAAAGUGGAUACAGCGUCUGAAAAAGAAGCUGUACAAGCUAAACUAGCUUCUCAUACUUAAUAUAGGUGCACAGGGGUGGCUUUGACUAAGGUACAUAGAUCUUUGCUGAAUUUACUGACAGACAAAAGUUGCUGCCCUUGUCGAUCCCAACUUUGAUGCUGGAGAGUCAAAAUCGAGGGGAGGGAGAAGGAAAGACGCAGACACAUUGUCAAGUUCAAGAUAGUUGAAGAUUGAUAUGCUCCCAGUUAAUGAGUUAACUUGGCCUGAAUUUGCCGGUAGAUACAUUCUGCUUAUGUAUGUAAAGCAACCUGGAUUCUUCAGAAGUUUCAUCUUGUGAGAAUAUAAAGGUGUUCCAUUGCUUACAAGGUGAUGGUGGGAUGGUUCGCGACUCAAUAGCUGGAGUGGGUGGAAUUGAAGCAGAUGGCCUGAGGCUGGGUCCCUGAAGAGAGAAAAUGAUAUUUGGUCAAUGGAAUAUAUUGAUGAAGUUGAUGCCGCUGAAACAAUUGUUACUGCAGCAAUGCGAUUCCAGAGUGGGCAAAAGUCUUGGAACCUGCAAGAAAGCUACCCACUAAUGUUGAAACCAGGAUUAGGAAAUGUGUCUACGAGGCAUUGGAUAAAGGUCCACCCGAGUGGGUGAAAAAGAUAUUGCGACAUUCUAUUAGUAAGGAAGUAUACAAGGUGCAUCAGGGCCUACAAAGGUUUGGCACCACAUACGCACUGCUUAUGGAGACCGGCCAGAUUUGAUGCUUUUAGCUGAGCAAUAAUCUGGAGAUUUUGGAUCUCUGUAUGAAAAAGAAGUGUGAUUAUUUUCCGUGGAUCAAUCUCUCAAUGCAGUUGUACAUCCAUUUCCUGUGUUACCUUGUAAAUUUACUUUAUGGCAGAUUCUUCCAAACAGGUGCUUGAUCCUGUACAGAAAAUUAAGGAGCAUGCUAAUCCCUAAUGC
Papaver somniferum (opium poppy) is the source of this 6371-nucleotide long non-coding RNA. RefSeq lists it as uncharacterized. The record is from RefSeq and is a predicted model, not a curated record. The transcript has 8 exons. Lineage: Eukaryota; Viridiplantae; Streptophyta; Magnoliopsida; Ranunculales; Papaveraceae.